AUGCCAUGGUGUGGGCAAGCAAUGACAGACUCUUGCAUACAUUCCCAAGCUUUGGGAAUUGACUCAUCAACUUGUUACUGAAAACUAGAAAUCUAGUUACAAAGAGCAU
This 109-nucleotide small nucleolar RNA is filed under the name Sorghum bicolor (sorghum). Its description in RNAcentral is "Plant small nucleolar RNA R71". It matches the Rfam family "Plant small nucleolar RNA R71". Rfam says of the family: R71 is a member of the C/D box family of snoRNAs containing the C (UGAUGA) and D (CUGA) box motifs. Multiple nearly identical copies of this snoRNA have been identified in Arabidopsis, and it is thought to function as a 2'-O-ribose methylation guide for 18S ribosomal RNA. Lineage: Eukaryota; Viridiplantae; Streptophyta; Magnoliopsida; Poales; Poaceae. The record is from Rfam by way of RNAcentral.